AAUCUGAUUCGUGGUUGUCCUUAUUUAUUUAUUUUCGGAUUGUUUUCCCAUUCGUUUCCCUGGUUUGUGGAAUAUUCUUUGUGGAACAUCGAGGAUGGUUUUUGAUGCUGCUAU
Molecule: non-coding RNA, 114 nt
Filed under: Aulacoseira subarctica
Lineage: Eukaryota; Bacillariophyta; Melosirophyceae; Melosirales; Aulacoseiraceae
Source: RNAcentral